AUUGAACGCUGGCGGAAUGCUUUACACAUGCAAGUCGAACGGCAGCACGGGGCAACCUGGUGGCGAGUGGCGAACGGGUGAGUAAUACAUCGGAACGUGCCCAAUCGUGGGGGAUAACGUAGCGAAAGUUACGCUAAUACCGCAUACGAUCUACGGAUGAAAGCGGGGGAUCGCAAGACCUCGCGCGAAUGGAGCGGCCGAUGUCAGAUUAGGUAGUUGGUGGGGUAAAGGCUCACCAAGCCAACGAUCUGUAGCUGGUCUGAGAGGACGACCAGCCACACUGGAACUGAGACACGGUCCAGACUCCUACGGGAGGCAGCAGUGGGGAAUUUUGGACAAUGGGCGCAAGCCUGAUCCAGCCAUUCCGCGUGCAGGAUGAAGGCCUUCGGGUUGUAAACUGCUUUUGUACGGAACGAAAAGGUCCUGGUUAAUACCUGGGGCUCAUGACGGUACCGUAAGAAUAAGCGCCGGCUAACUACGUG
This 482-nucleotide ribosomal RNA is filed under the name uncultured bacterium. RNAcentral's name for it is "bacterial SSU rRNA". It matches the Rfam family "Bacterial small subunit ribosomal RNA", at positions 30 to 507 of the family's 1533-position model. The record is from RNAcentral.